GUGGGCUUGAGGUGUGACAGACUAAGGUGGUAUCAAAGUUAAUUAGCAGCCGAAAAUAUGAAAUUAGUAUCAGCUGAGCCAGAUUAUACAACGGAGAGAGCGAGGCUCUUAUGCUGACGACUAUUGUGGGUAGAGCACGACUCCCUCACAAGGUCAUAAGGCUAGCGAGACGAGUCUCACAUCACCUGGUACUUGUGAGUCUAAGUCUGACGAGGACAUCGGAAAUUAAAGGGAAAAAAAAUGUGAGACUCCAAAUAGUCCUAUAUAUAAGAUAGGGAUAAUUGCCUAUAUACCCCUCAUACGUUUGAAAAUAUCUGAUUUACCCCUACUUUUUUUUUUCUUUCUAAAAUACCCUUCAUAUGUUCCACCAUUAUUGCAAAAUACCCCCGCAGUUAUCUCCUGUUAAGUUAACUUGGGUUAAACGUGAGUUAAAUAUCUACCACAAUUUAAAAAAAUUAAAAUACCAAUUUGCCCUUAACUUAAGGGCAAAUAAGAAAUGUUGGUGACGGUAGAGAGGUAUAUUAGAAAAUACCAAAAGUCAAAAUACUUUUUGUGCCCCUGACUUUAAGGGCAAGUAAGAAAGUAAGUAAUGGUAGAAGUGUAUAUUUGAAAGGGCAAAAUAAUAAUUUUACAGAGAUAAUAGAGUUAAUUAACAGAUUUUAACUCUAGGGGUAUAUUAGAAAUAGGUUGGAACGUAGGAAGGAUAUUUUCAAUAUUAGCCUUCAAAGAGGGGUAAAUCGGAAAGUUGAAAACUUUUCAAGGGUAUAUAAGCAAUUGCCCCUAUAAGACUAAAAAACUCUUAACCCGACUAUAGCGCAUUUUGGACGGUGGUUAGGUUCAAGAGGUUGAGAAAGUUAAGCGUGAUAGGGCGUUAUAGUAAAAUAUUUGAGUGAGUUUAGAUAGAAAGAGAUUUUUCUUAAGUGAUUUUAUAAAGCUAUUUGGUAAAAUUUUUUUGAUAUUCGAAAAAAAAUAUUUUUCUGAAUUUUAUUUUAAAAUAAUUUAAGUUUGAAUUUAAAUUUAAAAUUUAAAAUUUAAAAUUGAAAAUUAAAAAUUUUGAAUUUUAAAAUUUUGAAAUUUGAAAAUUAAAAUUUGAAAAUUAAAACUUAUAAUUUUAAAAUUUAAAAUAUAAAAUUUAUCUUAAUUUUAAAUUUGAAAUUUAAAAAUUUAAAAUUUAAAAUUUGAUAUGUAAAUUUAAUAUUUAAAAUUUUGAAAUUUAAAAUUUAAAAGUUAAAAUUUAAAUGUAAAAUUUAAUUAAAGUUUGAAUAUAAAUUUAAAAAUUGAAUCUAAAAUCAAAAUAAAAAAUUUAAAAUUUGAGAGCAAAACUAGAAUUAGAUUUUGCAAAGCAAAUUUUAGUUGUGUCUAAUUUUGAACUUCGAAAAUUAAGAAAUUAAUUCUAAAAAUUAGAAUAAAAAAUUGAAAAUAAAGUUAUCAACCGCUUCAGUCGAAAAUUAUUUUUGACCACAAAAUUAUUUUUUCAAAUUUAGGCUUAGAAUAUCCACUAAGAUGUUCACGCGAAUAAGAUGCCAAGUUGUCAAACGUGAACAGCCUGGUGGACUAGGGAUGUCAACGGGUCGGGUUUGGGUCGGGUUUUUAAAAACCCGAACCCGGACCCGAAUACCAAGUUUAUACCCGAACCCGAACCCGAACCCGACGGGUUUAAAAAAUCCAUACCUAUAUCCGGCCCCGAUCAAAUACCCGAAACUCGAACCCAAACCCGAAAACCCGAACCCGAUGGUUAGGGAAAGAGAGACGACGAUGGUUAGGGUUAAUCGAAGGCAGACGUAAGUCGCGGAGGAGUCCUGCGGCAUUCGGGCUUGUGAUGGAAUGGCGAUUUUUUGAUCAGAAAAGAAAUAAAACAAGAAAAAGAUUGUCAGAAAUCACAGAAUAAUUCGACUUCGAUCGGAUUGGGACUGGGGACGGGCCGCGGGCGAGGCGCCUAGGGAAGCGCCGUGCGUUGUCGGAUUGGGAUAGGCGGCGGGGCGGGGGAGACUGCGGACGGCAGAUCGAAGGGGCGGCGUCGCGGCGAAAUGGCGGAUAGGGGCAAAGGGAGUUAGGGCGAAAAUGAAAUGGCGGAUGGGGAUGGGGCGAACUUGCAAAGUAAGGA
This 2104-nucleotide long non-coding RNA is filed under the name Ananas comosus (pineapple). RNAcentral's name for it is "long non-coding RNA (ACOM_LNC009999)". The record is from RNAcentral. Lineage: Eukaryota; Viridiplantae; Streptophyta; Magnoliopsida; Poales; Bromeliaceae.